CGACCUCCCCAGCCACGUGGAACUAUAAAUCCAUUAAACCUCUUUUUCUUCCCAGUCUCAGGUAUGCCUUUAUCAGCAGCAUGAAAACAGGCUAAUAUAUACCCCCAAAGUUAGAUACUUUAUCAUAUUUCAAUUGUGUGGAUUUGGGAUUUGCGUGACUCAGCUGGUUGAUUCUCUUGAUGAAUGUGGCACCAACUGAGGUCACUCCAUGGUAAUCAUCCUGUAGGUGUGCUGGGCUGGUCUAGAGAUCCCAGGAUGGCUUCACUUACAUGUCUGGUGACAUUGGCUGGUGGGGGCUGGCUGCAAGGCUGGGCUUAGCUGGGACCACCAGCCAGAGCUCCCGAACAUGGCUUCUCCAACCUGGUGGUAUUAGGGCAGUUGAUUACAUGGCAAUUUCAAGCUCCCAGAGAGAGUGUCCUAAGACAGGCAAGGUGAACUGCCACCCUGUUAAGGCCCAGGCCCAGAAACUGACAAGCACCACUUCUGCUGUAUUCUAUUGGUCAAGCAGUCACCCCACCUCACCUCUCCAUGCAGGUAGCAUCAAGGAAUUUGGGACCAUCUUCAAUCCACUACAAUCCCCAUUCUCCAAUUGCAGUCCCUUCCCCCACAGGCAGCCUUUAUGUGCUCUGACAUUCAUCCUUGAAUUUGAACAUAGUAUCUAACGUAAGUUACCUAAAUCUGUGUAGACAUUUCCUCCCUUGCUUCUGACUGAUAGAUGCUUCUCCAAGGUGUGCACCCACCACAUUUACUUCUAUCUUCCCCAGGAAUGGGCACCUGAGUGGCCAACGCCCCUGCCAGACAGCUCUCCAGAGUGGCUGCACCUUCUCAUACUCCCUGGCAAAGAACAAGGGUUCCUCUUUCCCCGACACUCCAGCCAACACUUGGCAUUAGCUGACUUUCUAAUUUUUGCUAAACUGAUAAGUGUACAGAGUAAAGUUUCAUGUUGAACUUUUAAAACAAGGGGGGACAUAUAGAGGAAAAAGGAUAGGAAGGAAAGCGGUUAGGAGGGAAGGAAAAUGGCAGCUGGCUAAGUGGGAAGAAUUGGAAAGUCAAGUUUUCUGGACUGCACAGUACCCUACGGAAUCCUAGAGGCCAUCAGAGUAGCUGCAGGUCACCUUGUGGAAAAGUGCAAAAUACAGUUAGACAUUUGGAAUUUGGCUUUCUGGCAGCCUGGCUGGAAGGUGUUGAUUCCACAGGGCCAAGGCUGGCUGUGCCUGCCUCCCUCUGGGUCCUGGAAGCUGAGGGAGGGUGAACCAGCCUCCAGUUCCCAGGUUCUUAUGCUCACGAGAUUUUGCUCCUUCUAUUUAUCUCUCAGUCCUUUUCUGGCGGCCAGAGAGUCCGUCUUUAGCGGGGACCUGUACAGUAUUGUGUUAAUCUUCAGCUCUCUCUGUUUCCUCUCUGUUCCCUUCCUCCCUUCCUCUUCUCCUCCACCACACAGAACAGAUGUGGAAAAAGCCAGGCCUUUAGGAACAUCUGCUGAGACACCAGCUGCCUUCCUCCCGGGCUAAGGAAACUGUGACCCCUCUGAUUAUUGGGUUUCAUCCAAGGACCUCAGUUCUCUGGCCAGAAUAUUUGCAUCGAAGUCAGCAAGGUCUUCUAGCUAUUUAAGAGAAUUUGCUAAAUCCCUGAAGAUUUGUACAUAUAGAAAGAAGGGAGAGAUGCUAUUUUUAAAACAUUGGCUGCAGUUGGAGCUGGCUUGCCCAGAAGUGCAGAAUUCCCAAUGCUUCCCAGGGAGCGUGCAUCACUCUCGGAAAUACCUGUACACAUAGGAGCGGUAUAGGAAAAAUGAGUUGAACUGUUCUGAUUAAGAAAGGGACUGCAAUUUGGAACUUGAUCAGCAGCUGCAUGCUGACUGCUAGAGGAAGAAGGGUUUGUUUCUGUUUUUAUUUCUUUGUUUUUUUUGGGAGUGGACAAAGUGAUUUCUGAAAGAGAGUGAGAGGGCCUGGAAGUACCAAUGAGGCAGAGGGAAUUGGAGGAGGAAACAGGCCAGUGAUAAAUUCCUCCUAGCAGGAGUACCCCGCCCAGAUGGGGACUUCAGUGUGGAAUCAUUUACUUUGGGGAUGACACCUCUUGUUAACUGCAGACCUGCAGGAAACAUCUGCUAAACUUGACAGCUGUGUGCUGCUGGUGGUCAUUGAAAGACCAGCAUUAAGUUGACAGGCAGAAAGAAAAAGAAGUCCCAGGGGGAGGAAAGGAAUGAGAUGGAGGGCUCAGUGUGAACAGGAAAUCAGAGCCAGGGAUGACCAGUAAAAUACAAGCCCUGGGGGAAUCUAGAAACAUCUUGGAAAGGGCCCAAAGCUUUUCCAUAACAUGUGGACUGGGAGGCUCUCGGGAAGGACCCCAGACUGGUGAACUUGGCAGUACGCAAGCUGAAGGCAUCUGGCAUACACACGAGUGGGUGCACACACGCACAUGCACACACACACGCACACAUGCACACACCCCAGAUCCUCUAGAGUAGUGGUCCUCAAUCUUGGCUGCACUUUUGAAUUGCCUGGGAGUUUUAAAAAUGCCAGAGCCUACCCUCACCCCAAUGCCACCAAACCAAUGGCAUCAGAAUCUGUGGGAAUCAGACCCGCACAUCAGGUUUUCAAAGCUCCCAGGGCUGAACAGCAUUGUUCUACAGCCUGACAGCUCCAGCUGCCUGGAGAGCAGAUGCCAUUUACAGUCUCCUGCAACCAAAGACUCACCGGAACCAUCGUGCCUUUCCAUCACACACCGUACCCAGGCCUUCUCCCUUCCUUUCUCACCACCUCCCCUACCCGCUUCCCAACAGAUCUCCUCCCAUAGUCACCGAUGAGACACAGGCACCCAGUGGAAUUUAAGCCUGAGAGAAACCACAAAUAAUUUUGUUUAAUAUAAGUAUAAGCUGUGUAAAAUUAGUAGAUACCAUGCAACAUACUCAUACUAAAAGUUACUUGUGAUUUCUCUAAAAUUCAAAUUUAAGCAGGCAUCCUGUGAUUUUAGUUGCUAAAUCUGACAACCCUAGCUAGAGACAACUUAAAAACAAAUAGAAAAUUUUCUUCCUCGACAAGGGACAGAGAUUUGGCACCACCACUAGCACCAGACCCAGAGUCAAAGCCCAGGGCUCCUGGGCUGAGCCCCUGGAAGAAUCAGGAAAGCUUUUCGCCUUCCCCACACGUCCUGCAGGCGCGCAGUACUGCGAGGUAUCACCACCAGAGGGCGCACUCUGAGCAGGCGGGAGGAGCUAGCAAGGACAAGACCCCAACCCACCGAGCAUUGGUGUUCAACUGGUGGGGUCCAGGGACAUUUCUUCUUCUUCUAAACUAAAUGAUCUCGAAGACACCUGAGAUUCAGUGAGAGAGAAGGGUGAGCCCAGGGUAGAAUGGUGAGACUCAAAACCUGGCAGGUUUCUUUUACAGGGAUUUAUUGCUUUGAUUUUUUUUUUAAUUGCACAAAUAAAACAGUCAAACCAUUCAGAAUUCAAUGUGGAAGUCCUCCUUUUAAUGUCCCCAUUCCACCUGCCUCACAUGUGUGUCAUGGAUCUUCCUAUUUCUACUUCUACGCACGUGUGUGUGUGCGCGCACGUGUGUGUAAUUUGGGUUUGUUGGUUAAAUUCUUUACACAAAUCCCAUCUGAAUAUGUAUGUAGAUAGAUAAUUUCUAGAAAUUUCUUUUUUCAUCUAAUAAAUUUUCAUGUAAUAAAUAACUUUUGAGGAGGACCACUCUGUGAUAUACGCAAUAUUAAUUUCAUUUAAUCUUCACAAUGACCCUAUGAGGUAGGGGCUAGUGUUAUCAUGCAUUAUACAGAUGGAGAAACUGUGACACAGAAAGGCUAAGUGAGUUGCACAAGAUCACACAGCAAGUAAGUGGCAAAGCUGGGAUUUAAACCUAGGCCAUAUGGCUUUGGAGCACGAAUGCUUAAUUACUCUUCUGCAUUACUUGACUUUAACCAUUGCAUCACAGUCUAGCCUGGAGAUGGACCAUAGUAUAUUUAUAGCCACUCCCCUUUUGAUCCAUAUGCAGGCUGUGCCCAGGGUUCCACUAGUAUGAAAAAGGACGCAGAGGAGAGCGUUGUGCGGCAGCCAGAGGGGUUCUUGCAGGGUAGCGGCCCAGCUGUGGAGUAUGCACAGGUUACAUUCCAACAAAUACUGUUAGAUUUUAUUCCCAAGAGGUUGAAACAUUCCCAUUCCCAGCAGUUGUGUUAGAGUGCCCAUCCUCCUUGGUGCCAUCAAGGGCAUGCAGGCAGAAGGAACAGACUGUGGAGAGGAGCAGGGAUAUGGUUUGGGGAAUGGCAAGAAGUCUAGUGAGGUUGAAGGUUGGGUUGUACUUGCUGGUUGUGAAUGUAAUCUAUUUUAUGCUCUGCAAAUUUGAUACACAAUACCACGACAUUUCAUUGUAGUUUUUGUUUGCAUUUCCCCAAUUGCAGGGAAACAAAAUCAUCUUUCUGUAUGUUUAUGAGCCAUUUGUGUUUUUUCUCCUGUAAACUUUAUGUUCAUAUUUUUGCACUUUCCCAAAGGGAUGUUUAUCUUCUUGGUUUGUAGGUGCUCUAAUAUUAUGGGAUGUUAGUCUUUUGUCAGUUACAUUGGCUACAAAUAUUAUGUCAUGGUGUGUUGCUCUUACAAACUCAAGUUUUAAUGAUAGUAACCUGGAUUGUCAAAUGUGACAACAGGCUUUCUCAGUCACAGCUGUGGAACGUGUAACAGAGACAACCUCUCUGAAGGGCAGCUUGAUAAUAGAUACCAAAUGUGCUUUAAAUCGUGUACACUUGCUGAUGCUGGUAUUCUAUAUCCAUCCUAAGGAAAGAUCAGGGAUAUAGAUAGCAAGUUAGCUCCAAAGAUGGUCAUUCCAGUUUUGUUAAUGAUGUAACAAUUUGAGAACUUUUACAUGUCCAGCAAUAGGGCACUGGAAAAAUCAAUUACAUCUUAAUCAUUGGCAGGAAUAUAAUGUUACCGUUAAAAAAGAUGCAAUAAAACUGCGUUUUUGACUGUACUAGUAAAUGAAAAAAUUGAUAGCAUGAAAGAUUUUGUCCAGUAUUAUUCCACUUUUGUAAAAAUGUUUAAAGUUCAGACUGAUAAGAUAUGCCCCAAAAUGUUGAUAAUGAUUUUUCUCUGAAUGGGGCUACUAUGGGGUAGUCUUGACUGUCUUGUUUUUGCUACUCUAAAUUUUUUUAAAAUUUCACAAAUAACAUGAAUUACUUUUAUAAUAAAUAUAUAUUUGUAAAAUUAUACAUAUAUAUGUAUAUAUGUAUGUGUGCACAUAUAUAUACACACACACAUAUACAUAUAUUUAUACCUAAUUUUUUCUUUUGACUAUUGGAGGUAGAGAGCUACCAGGUCUUCAAUGAACCUUACCUCCUGUUAUUCAUGCUUUCGUGUCCUCUUUUCUGAAACGGAAUCAGAGCUGGUCAGUGUUACCAGUAGAACACUGCAGAAGUGACGGUGUGUCACAUCCAAGGCUAAGUCAUAAGGGCACUGUGACUUCCACCUUUGCUCUUGAAUCACUUGCCCUGGGGAAGCCAGCUACCAUGUUGUGAGGCUGCUCAAGUAGCCUUGUGGAGAGGCCCACGUGGAGAGAAAACAAGGCCUUUGCUGCAGCCAGCACCAACUUGCCAACCAUCUGAGUCAGUCACCUCGGAAGUGGAUCCUCCAGCCUUCAGAUGACCACUGUCCCAGCUCAUAUCUAGACUGCAACCUCAUGAAAGACCUGGAUCCAGAGCACCCAGCUAAGCUGUUCCUGAAUUCCCAACUCACAGAGACUGUGAAAGAUAAUGCAUGUUUGUGUCUGUUUUUAGUCACUAGGUUUUGGCUGUGAUGUAACAGUAGAUAGCUGAUACAAAGUUUAGUACCAGAAGUGGGGUGCGGAUGGAACAUAAACCUACCAAUGUGGGAGUGUCUUUGGAACUGAGCAGAGGGCAGAAGCUGAAACGACUUUGAAGAAAGUGUCAGAGAAAGCCUAAAGUGCAUUGGAGAGGCCAGUAGUGGGAGGAGGAUGUUGGUGAGGGUUUAUAGGAAAGUGAGAACAAAGCAUUCUCACUUUCAAGAAAGGUGAUUCUUGUUAUGGAGAGGCAGAAAUUAAGCAACACUGCAGCAAGAUGGAAAGCUCAUAAAUGGAAUGAUCUAGCUAAGGAGAUUCUUAGGCAAACCCAGGUAUUGGGCUCUUCCACUAACAGUAUCUUGCUACAGAUACAAAAGAAUCAGAAAAUGCAGCCCUGCCCGUGGCCUCUGGGCAACAUCUCACUCAGCAGCAUGAACCGUGCCCACUGACCCCCUCGGAAGUGACUGAUGCAGAAGGUGGAGUAUUGGCAUGCUUGCUGGUUCCCAGGAUGGGUCUCAGAAAGCUUGGAACUGAGGUGGAAUCAUGUUCAUGUUCCUCCCAGAGUAUAGAGCAGUUAGACGUUCAGUACCUUUCUGGAGAGAGAGGGGAGUGAAGAGUGCUCAAGGGAAUAAUUGCAUCAAUGCUCCCAGCACUCUGCCCUGCCCAUGGGAAGUCAGGUUGCACAGAGGCCAAUCUGAAAAAACAGUCAGAAUGCUCCCUGGACCAGAUCACAGGGAUACUUUGGGGUGCCUGUGCCCUUCAGCAGGUGGGUCUGGACAGAGGCUGCACACUGCAGGUUCCUCCCAUGUUUUUCUUCCUAAGGAUGAAACCACUCACAUGCAUGAUACACACAUGCCACUCACAUGCAUGCCACUCACAUGCAUGACACACGCACACCAUCUCUCCUGGGGGUACCUGACCGUCUGAACUUUAAAGUAAUUUACCUCAUUUACCUGUAAUGAACAUUCAUCCUGCUUUCUUCUUGUCCAGGGCUCCGAACAUCUUCUUUUCUUUGGGGAGCUCCUGCCUCCUGAGUCCCUGACUGUCUAGAGGAGCCAGAAACUCUUAUUUCUCAGAAAGGAGGGUGCAGGCAUGUGACCAAACUCACCAGAUAGAUGUACCCGCACCAGACUCAGAUUCAGAACCAGGGGCUCCAGGACGAAGCAAGGUCCCAUGGAAUCCACCCCGGUGGGGAGGCAGCAGAGGCUCCAGGGUAUCAUUGGAAGCCCCUCUGUGGUUGCCCUGCUCAGGGCAGGCUGCAGUGUUGUUUCCUGGAGCUGCUCUGCCGUGGGUGGCACAUUUGGGCCAUAUUCCAGAGCCCAGUUCCCAGGUCAUUCAAGUAGCCAGUGAUAAAUCCCAUUUCUGCUUAAACUCAAUACAAGUGGUUUCUGUUGUUUGCAACCAAGCCUGCCUGAGGCCUUCCACUGGCGCUGCACCUUUGCAAGGGAGACAUUCGGUGUGAUAUAUAACAGCAACUUUGGGAUGAACUCCACCUUACCAGACAAAGCUGGGAGAAGAACAAUCCCAGAUACCUGUUCGAGUCAAUGGACCACUAACUACGGCAAUGCAUUUUUUUAAUGCGCUUUUUAUAUCACUUGGAAUGCCCUGACCUCCCCACGUCCUCCUCUGUCCCACGCGGGUCCACCCUCCACAUCAUGGCCACUGUGAUCUUUCUCCACAAUGAUCUGGCGGUGCCACUGCCCAUGUGACACCUGUGCUGGGUUUCUCUGUCCCCACCCCAUCUUUCUUCUCCCUGCUGUGCCCACCCAGCCAUGCCAUAUGGACAAUCACUCUUGCUCUCUGUCUUCAAGUGCGAUUUGGCCAACAGAAGCAUGGGCGGGCCCUCAGAGGGCAGAAGAAUGGACUUGGACAUCUGUUACCCCCGCUCCUUCCCUGCCAGGUUGCCACAGAAUAUGGCUAGGGAGGAGUCCUGCUUCGAAGGAUUGAGAAGAUGUUGAAAUAAGAGCUCCCAAGGCAAAUUGAGAAGUGGGGAACGUGCUUGCAUUGAGAAAAAUGAAAGACAGACCCUUUCGAAGACACCUCCCAGGUUUCGAAGAGGAACCUCUGGGCAAGGCAGAGGAAAGACACUUGUGCUUUCACAGUUUGUAGUGGGAAUCAGCCAAAAAGUGCUAAAAAGGAUGGUAUUAUUGAGACAGGUGGCGAAAUCUGAAUACGGUCUGCAGAGGAGAGAAUACUACUGCAUCCAUGUUAAUUUUCCUGAUUUGAACAACUGUACUGGGUUAUGGAAGAUAAUGACUUGUUUUUAGGAAAGAUCCAUGAAACUAUUAUAAAGGGGCAUUAUACUUCAAAUGGCUCAGAUCUUAAAAGUAUGUAUUUAGACACAGAGCAAAAAUUAUAAAGCAAAUGUGGCAAAUUAUUAACAACCGAGGAAUCCUGCUAAAAGGUAUAUAUUAGUAGAAAGUUUUUGUGCCAUCCUUGCAACUUUUCAACUAAGUUUGAAAUGGUUUCAAAAUGAAAGUUUUCAAAAACACUUAAAAGCAUUUGCAAUAUGUUCAUUCAUUCUGUUUGAAUCUUGUUCCGUGAGAAUACAUUCAUGUGUUACUAGA
Molecule: non-coding RNA, 8344 nt
Organism: Chlorocebus sabaeus (green monkey)
Lineage: Eukaryota; Metazoa; Chordata; Mammalia; Primates; Cercopithecidae
Source: RefSeq, a predicted model, not a curated record